Molecule: long non-coding RNA, 185 nt
Organism: Sebastes umbrosus (honeycomb rockfish)
Lineage: Eukaryota; Metazoa; Chordata; Actinopteri; Perciformes; Sebastidae
Exons: 3
Source: RefSeq, a predicted model, not a curated record
GCAGAAGAAAGAGGAAGCUGAGAGAGAACUGGAGCAGCUGAAGACCAAGAACACUGAGAUUGAGAAGAAGCUCCAUGAUGAGAAGACUAAAAGGGAGGAAGCUGAGAAAGAAGUGAAGAACCUAAAGAAAGAGAUGCAGACCAAGCUGGAGGACAAACAACAAGCAGAUCAAAUACAGUUGAAGA